CCUGAUGCAGCGACGCCGCGUGAGGGAUGACGGCCUUCGGGUUGUAAACCUCUUUCAGCAGGGAAGAAGCGCAAGUGACGGUACCUGCAGAAGAAGCACCGGCUAACUACGUGCCAGCAGCCGCGGUAAUACGUAGGGUGCGAGCGUUGUCCGGAAUUAUUGGGCGUAAAGAGCUUGUAGGCGGUUUGUCGCGUCUGCUGUGAAAAUCCGGGGCUCAACCCCGGACUUGCAGUGGGUACGGGCAGACUAGAGUGUGGUAGGGGAGACUGGAAUUCCUGGUGUAGCGGUGGAAUGCGCAGAUAUCAGGAGGAACACCGAUGGCGAAGGCAGGUCUCUGGGCCACUACUGACGCUGAGAAGCGAAAGCAUGGGGAGCGAACAGGAUUAGAUACCCUGGUAGUCCAUGCCGUAAACGUUGUUUUCUAGGUGUGGGGCUCAUUCCACGAGUUCCGUGCCGCAGCUAACGCAUUAAGCGCCCCGCCUGGGGAGUACGGCCGCAAGGCUAAAACUCAAAGGAAUUGACGG
Molecule: ribosomal RNA, 524 nt
Filed under: Intrasporangium calvum
Lineage: Bacteria; Bacillati; Actinomycetota; Actinomycetes; Micrococcales; Intrasporangiaceae
Description: bacterial SSU rRNA
Rfam family: Bacterial small subunit ribosomal RNA
Source: RNAcentral